Molecule: long non-coding RNA, 1128 nt
Filed under: Gallus gallus (chicken)
Lineage: Eukaryota; Metazoa; Chordata; Aves; Galliformes; Phasianidae
Description: long non-coding RNA NONGGAT003562
Source: RNAcentral
AGGAGCCGCGCGGCGCAGUGCAGCGAUGUGAUGAGCGCUGCUGCACCCGAGCAGGUCGGGCUGAGCGGGAACGGGGACACAGGAGGCAGGAAACGCUUUCUGUGGUGUGCAACCGCCGUCAGCCAUUUUAGGGUACAGAGGAGCGAUGAAAUGGGCUCCACGUGCUGGGGGAGCCGGCAGUGGGCAAGGAAAACUGCCUCGUGCUCAGUGGAUGUCAGCCAGAACCAACCCUGGGAAUCAGCUCCUUGCUCAGUGCCCUCUGCCAUGGAGGCAGCAAAGCAGAGGGCCGCCUCACUGCAGUCCUCUGUAGGCAAUUCUGCCAUAAGUUCAUUUAGGUGAGCUGUCUUUAGUUCCUUGCUCCACUCGCCGUAAUUGCUUCUUCAGAGUGAUGCUACACCUCAGGCGUGGGGCUGCUGCCUGGCUGGCCUUCCAUAGACAGACCAAGGAAGGUGAGGCUGAAGUCAUCAGCAGGUUGGUCACAAAUGACAUCUCUGUAGCGGUGCAUUGCUGUCUGCUGCUGGAACCUCAAACAGUGCCAGGGCUGAGGGCAGGACCACGGGACAGCUUCAGGCUGCUCAGUAUUUGGCUUCAGCGCUGGAAGUACCAGGGAAUAUUAAUUUUCUCUGGGCACGGAUAUUGUCCUCUUUACCUUUGUGAAAAAUUUUGGUGUUCGGAUGUUUGUGUGAGGUGUGCAGGUGGAACACAGAGAGGUGGUGCCUUUCUGCUGGUGUCUGUGGGGAUGUUAACGCUCCCUGCAAGCACAACAUCAGGAAGAAACGUUCUUUCCCUGAAAUAUCUUGUAGUUGUGUGGAUGGGAAGUGCUGGCGGCUGUGGGUUCGUGGUGCAUGAUCUGUCCUUUGUGCUCUUGGCAUCUGUUAUCGUGGAGGUCCCUGCUCCUGAACAGCCUUGCAAAGUGCUAUUACAAUAUCAAAUAAUCUGUGAAGUAGACAAGAGAUCAGGAAAGGAAUGCAGUAGAAAAAUGAGCUUGUGCCAAUAUAUUAUUCCAAGGAUAGUAAAAAAAAAAUCCAGCAUGUGGUUUGAAAACGUGGUACUACGUAGACACAUAGGGACAAAGCUUGGAAGUAAUGGCCCUUGGAUCUGAAUGACACAUUUCAGCCAGGGAACUGC